CUUCUUUAAGAAGCUUUCUUGAUGGAGGGGAGUGGCAGACGGGUGAGUAACGCGUGGGAAUCUACCGUACCCUACGGAAUAGCUCUGGGAAACUGGAAGUAAUACCGUAUACGCCCGCAAGGGGAAAGAUUUAUCGGGGUAUGAUGAGCCCGCGUUGGAUUAGCUAGUUGGUGGGGUAAAGGCCUACCAAGGCGACGAUCCAUAGCUGGUCUGAGAGGAUGAUCAGCCACAUUGGGACUGAGACACGGCCCAAACUCCUACGGGAGGCAGCAGUGGGGAAUAUUGGACAAUGGGCGCAAGCCUGAUCCAGCCAUGCCGCGUGAGUGAUGAAGGUCUUAGGAUUGUAAAGCUCUUUCACCGGAGAAGAUAAUGACGGUAUCCGGAGAAGAAGCCCCGGCUAACUUCGUGCCAGCAGCCGCGGUAAUACGAAGGGGGCUAGCGUUGUUCGGAAUUACUGGGCGUAAAGCGCACGUAGGCGGGUAUUUAAGUCAGGGGUGAAAUCCCAGAGCUCAACUCUGGAACUGCCUUUGAUACUGGGUAUCUUGAGUAUGGAAAAGGUAAGUGGAAUUGCGAGUGUAGAGGUGAAAUUCGUAGAUAUUCGCAGGAACACCAAUGGCGAAGGCGGCUUACUGGUCGAUUACUGACGCUGAGGUCCGACAGC
RNAcentral lists this ribosomal RNA (661 nucleotides) under Rhizobium sp. RNAcentral describes it as "bacterial SSU rRNA". It matches the Rfam family "Bacterial small subunit ribosomal RNA", at positions 67 to 760 of the family's 1533-position model. Lineage: Bacteria; Pseudomonadati; Pseudomonadota; Alphaproteobacteria; Hyphomicrobiales; Rhizobiaceae. The record is from RNAcentral.